Cygnus olor (mute swan) is the source of this 2060-nucleotide long non-coding RNA. RefSeq lists it as uncharacterized. Lineage: Eukaryota; Metazoa; Chordata; Aves; Anseriformes; Anatidae. The record is from RefSeq and is a predicted model, not a curated record. The transcript is spliced from 3 exons.
UCAGCUCCAGCCAUAACUAACGGGAAGGAAAAGGAGUACUCCUGUAUAGCUCAUGAAACUUAUCUUUCAAAAGAAUUUGGACAAUAAAGACAAUCAGGGGUGUAACCAAAACCCAACAUUGCUCCCUCAGUAUCUCAACCAGACGGCAAAACUUCCUGGGCUCUGACCUUUCUCUUAUAUAUUGUUCUGGUAGCAAACAAACACUCAGCUUUGCUAUUUAGCAAUUCCUCCUUUUUUCCUUGCCAAUGAAACUUGUGAAGGAACCUUUUACAUCAGAGGUUUGGAUCAAACCUCUCAUCCAUUAUUUUUGGUCCCUGGUAGUGAUCAACUACUGGCACUGUAGAGGAAGAUUAGGAAACAAGACAGAAUGUGUCAACUGUGCGAUGUAAUAAACAACAAAAUUCCCUUUGGAACACACAGCAGUAAGCCUACACAACAUGACAUUUGGAAAUGACUGGCAGUCACUGAGACUUUAUAAAAAAAACCUAAGAUUCCAAUAGCUCAGGAAGCUCAUGCAUAUCUUUCCAGGAUGCUGUAUGAACAGUAAUACCCUUCCUGUUUCUGGACAAAGCCUUUCCAGAUCACAGCUCUGUCUGCAGAAUUGAAUUGCACUUCCUUUAAAGAGCUGAAAAAAACUCAAAAGUUGCUGCAGGAAGCAUUGUGAGCCCUGGAUGGAACCUGGCAGCGGAAAAACUGCUCAGCCUCUGACUUAGGGAAAAGAUGGGAUAUAUACACAGAAUCAUGCUUCUAUCUUUUAAAAGCACUCCAUAAACUUUUGCCAGUGAAAGUCAACUUGUGUUUAGGAACUACUCUGCAAAGUCCCACUUCUAAGCCAGCCAGAUGAAUGAAGAGGAGGGCUGCAGCUGACUACCACGUUUGGGCUACACAAAGGAAGGAAGGGAACACAGAAACGAGCAACAGCAAGAGCACAAUACCAGCAGAGAAGCUGACAGCACUUCUCUAACUCCAUCAUCCCUUCAGGUUUUUCUCAAGACCAGCAGCAAAGCCAGAGAAGCUGCACUGGCCUGAAUGUCACCACUUCCUGAAAGUGAUGCAGGGAAGUCAUUUCGCUCAUCUAAAUUUCAUGAAAGAACUGACAACUCUGAAAACUAUUGUAUGUUCAGAAGGUAGUUUCCACACUACAUAAAAGCGCCAUAAAAGGUUUGCUUUGAAAAACAAGCUGGUUGCAUAGCCACAGGAGCCAGCACCGUUUCAGUUUAACAACAGACUCUUCUGGAGGGGAUAAAAGUUCCUGAAGGACAGAAACAGAAAGCAACCGAUCGAUGCUCCUUCAUUUAUAGUGUCUAUUAUAACAGUAUUUCAGCCUUUUCCUUCUGGAGAACAGCACUUUGGGAUAAUCGUGCGUUUGGAAAUUGCCAGUAGGAGCCCAGGUCUGAGCAGCAGUAGGUGCUUGCAUUUCCUGCUGAAUUGAUUCUUACUGAGAUUACAAUCAGUGUGCUCAAUGUCCUGGCAUGUUGCCCUCCCGUAAGAAAGAAACCAACCAUCUAAAUUUGCAGACUUUGUUCAGCAAAGACUUAUCACUGAAAACAGCCCUACUUUGGGAGCAAAGAGGAAAAUCUGCCCUUUAGAGGCAAUCAAUUACUGCAUAUUCCUAGAACACCUUAUUGUUCUUGAAAUCUGCUUCAAGGGCUAAUUGGCUAUUUCAUCUGUUAGGUGUAUCUAACCCUAGAUAGGAGACUCUCUCGAACAAGCUCUAAUCUCAGAAACACUGGUGUAAAUCUGAGAUUUUUCAAUGCAGGUAGUAUGGUUUUAACAGAAGAGAACUGAAAACAGCACAGCAAGAAAUGAAACUAAAAGCAUUUGUUAGUAGAAAUUCAGCUCUGUCCUAGAAACCCCACCCUGUUAAGUAACCUCCUGUGCCCAACUCCCACCGCCACGUUCCCACUGCCACAUCCAUCUUCCAAAAACAGCCCAACACCAAAACAAUGGUCUUGAGUUGCUGCCACAGAACUCAAAGCACUGAAAGCCAAGUUGCAAGCCAGACAACCCACGAAACAAGCAACAUUUCUUAGUGUACAACACCAUGUCCCAUCACCCUG